UUGAACGCUGGCGGCAUGCUUUACACAUGCAAGUCGAACGGUAACAGGCCGCAAGGUGCUGACGAGUGGCGAACGGGUGAGUAAUGCGUCGGAACGUGCCCAGUCGUGGGGGAUAACGCAGCGAAAGCUGUGCUAAUACCGCAUACGAUCUAAGGAUGAAAGCGGGGGACCGAAAGGCCUCGCGCGAUUGGAGCGGCCGAUGUCAGAUUAGCUAGUUGGUGGGGUAAAGGCCCACCAAGGCAACGAUCUGUAGCUGGUCUGAGAGGACGACCAGCCACACUGGGACUGAGACACGGCCCAGACUCCUACGGGAGGCAGCAGUGGGGAAUUUUGGACAAUGGGGGCAACCCUGAUCCAGCCAUUCCGCGUGAGUGAAGAAGGCCUUCGGGUUGUAAAACUCUUUCGGCAGGAACGAAACGGUGAGCUCUAACAUAGCUUGCUAAUGACGGUACCUGAAGAAGAAGCACCGGCUAACUACGU
Molecule: ribosomal RNA, 480 nt
Filed under: uncultured bacterium
Lineage: Bacteria
Description: bacterial SSU rRNA
Rfam family: Bacterial small subunit ribosomal RNA
Source: RNAcentral